RNAcentral lists this unclassified non-coding RNA (524 nucleotides) under Chiliotrichiopsis peruviana. RNAcentral describes it as "partial external transcribed spacer". Lineage: Eukaryota; Viridiplantae; Streptophyta; Magnoliopsida; Asterales; Asteraceae. The record is from RNAcentral.
CUGGGGUCGUUUUUGGCUUUUAGUUGUUUGUUUGGCCUUUGAGCCUAGCAGGCAGUUGAUUGCUGGGGCGGCUUCGGGGAUGUUUAUCGUAAAGGUGCAUGAGUGGUGUUUGGAUUGAUACGGGUGGUCGGCUCCCUGCUUGAGCAGGCACGGCCAUACGUACAUUCCUUUUCAGUUAUCCGGCAGGGCUUGUAUCGCCUUGAUCGUAUAUGUGGGUUUCUUGUGUUGCAUACCUGAUCAAUGGCAUUGUCUUGAUCAAAAUAGUCCCUUUUUCGUCAAGCGUCGCUCUUGUGACGUCAGACGAACCAAGUAGCACCCUCUUUGAUCCUUCUUGUUGACAAGCAUUUGUUGAUGGUUUGGCCCAUUGAGGGAUGUUUGGUCUCUUGGAUAUGGAAGCCAAAAUGGGCAUGGGUUCGUAUGAUCCUUUUACUGCCCUCGUUGAGCGUUCUCGCUUCUCUAAAACGACUGCCUCUCACGUAUGGCACGUCCCAGCGUGUUUGGCUAUGUCGAAGAGGAAUGCUACC